RNAcentral lists this ribosomal RNA (841 nucleotides) under Osphranticum labronectum. Its description in RNAcentral is "eukaryotic LSU rRNA". It matches the Rfam family "Eukaryotic large subunit ribosomal RNA", at positions 151 to 897 of the family's 3401-position model. Lineage: Eukaryota; Metazoa; Arthropoda; Copepoda; Calanoida; Centropagidae. The record is from RNAcentral.
UUUGAGAGGGUCUCUUCCAAGGCUCGAACACCCGUCAAAGUCCAACUUGACAGUGGCCACAGCCCAUAGAGGGUGCUAGGCCCGUAAGGUGGGUGUUCGGCUUUGCUGACCUCUCUCCAGAGUCGGGUUGCUUGAGAGUGCAGCCCAAAGUGCGAGGUAAACUCCUCGUAAGGCUAAAUAUGACCCCAAGACCGAUAGCAAACAAGUACAGUGAUGGAAAUUUGAAAAGGACUUUGAAGAGAGAGUUAACAGUACGUGAAACUGUAUGGCAGUAAACGAAGCCUUCCUCGAAGUCGUUCGGGAGGACUCAACUUUGGACGUUGGCGGCCCUCGCGGCGGGAUCAGCAAUGAACCGCCGCGGGACGUCGGCUGGCGUCCUGGGUGCAUUUCCUCCCGACGUUACGGUAGGAACCAUUGGGACCGGACCGAAGGCAUGGGAUGAAGUUUUCGCUUCGGCGUCAGCUCCCGUUGUCCUGGCUCUGGACCCGAUGGGCCACACGGGGGACUUGUAUAGCAAGUGAACUUGUUGUCACCGUUCCCCUUUCUCUACCGAGUAGGUCGGCGGAGGCUUCGACCCGUCUUGAAACACGGACCAAGGAGUCUAACAUGUAUGCGAGUCAUCGGGUUGACUAAACCCUGAGGCGCAGUGAAAGCAAAGGGCUGCUCGUCAGCCUGAGUGAUGAGGCCUCACGGCCGCAAUCACGCGACUUCCUAUCAACCUUGCUUUGUAGGGAGUACGCAGAGCAUAAAUGUUGGGACCCGAAAGAUGGUGAACUAUGCCUGGCCAAGUUGAAGCCAGGAGAAAUCCUGGUGGAGGACUGAAGCGAUUCUGACGUGCAAA